AUAUUCAAGAAAUAACAAAGUGCAGAGGAAUGCAAUGACUGAACUGAUCUCAGAGCUGCUUGUUUGACCAGCAGGACCCUAACUCUGUACACUGGGGUUUGGGUUUUAGAGUCAAGUUGUUCUCUGCUGACUUCUGCCUUACCAUGUACUUUGCUGUGGAAUUUGCCCAAGGGCUUGUCAGUUGAAGAUCAGAGGAAAGGAAAGGAUGUAGGUAAUGUACUUAGCACAAUGUCUGGCCAAGAAGAGAAAUCAGUGCAGCUUAACCUUAUUCCCAAGAACCACUCUGAGAAGUUCUAUCCUGAAUUUUGUUUCUCCAAUGAACAUAAUAUUUCAGAAUGGACCGUGCAGCUGUCAGAAUGACGUUCACCCAAGCAAUGUGCAAUGUUGUCCAUCCCUCGACUGGGAACUUCUGAGAAGCUCUGAAGGAGAUUGAGGGUUAUCACUGGGGCCCGGUGCUGGCCCAACAAAUCCACUGCUCCUGGAGGUCAUUUUUUAAUCCAUUUCAGUGGAGAGGACAGAGAUAAAUUGAGAAAGGAGCAGAAGAUAGAGAGACAGAAAAAGAAACACUUGCAGACCUGCUUUACUGCCUGUGAAGCAUCCCCCCUGCAGUACUGUGUGUGCUUAUCCAGGUAGCCGCUUUAUGAAUUUCCAUGGAGGCACUGUGCUGUAACUUCCCCACCCCUUUCCUUCCAAUUUUUGUAUCAACAUCACAUGUUGGGAAAUUGUGCAGAUGUGGUUGAGUUAGGCAGGACCCACAAACCACCAUAUUUCCAUUCCAGGAAGCUGGCCACACGUCAUGCUUUGCUGCCAACCUGUCUCCCCACUGACUGUAAAUUCCAGGAGUUGAAGACACUACUAUGAUUCCAUCCUGACUUUCCCAAAAAGAAGACCUCACCUAUGUGUCCCAGAACCUCAUCUCCCCAGAGCCCUGCCCCACUAGGGAAAGACAGAAACAGGCUGGGGGUGUGGAUCCACUUGCCAACACCCAUGUCCAGUGGAGAAGCAAUGACAGAAGCCAGGACUCCCACCUUCUGCUCCCCAUAAGGAAUUUUAGACCUGGCAACAGGUGGUGGCAUACCUGGCUGAGUACACGUUAAGGUGUGCGAGACCCAGGUUUGAGCCCCCAGACUCCACCUGCAGGGGGAAAGCUUUACAAGUGGUAAAGUAGUGUUGCAGGGGUCUCUCUGUCUCUUUCCUUUUGAUUUCUGGCUGUCUCUAACAAGUAAAGAUAAUUUAAAAUAAUAAUAAUUUUGUUCCACACCCCCAAAGGGAUAAAGAAUAGGGAAGCUUCCAAUGGAGGGGAGGAUACAGAACUCUGGUGGUAGGGACAGUCUUGUUAAUCAUUAAUACAAAAUUACAAAAAAUAGAUUCCUAUUUCAAUAAAAAGAAAAGAAUUUUCCACCAUGCAAAGAGAAGAGUAACAGGACUCAGGGCUGCACGUCUGCUGUGUGUUAGUCCAUCCCCUGUCAGGCUGGUGGUCUGCAUUUGCCAGAAGCCAGGACUGGAGCUGUGGACCCAUCAAGGCCCCAGGUGAGGCAGAAAAGGCUGCGUUGAACCUGGCCGCCGAGGUGACUGUGAGGUCUUGGCCCUGUGGGAACUGGCGGGCGGCGGUUAGUAAAUGUCUGGAGAUCCUGUGUUCACUGAAAUUUCAUUACGGCCUUUUGUCAGGAGCCAGAAGCCCACGGUGCCAUCCGCCGAAGCCUGACUUAGCUUGUCCAGCAGUGAAAUCAACAUAAUAAAACUAAGUUAACAGAUAUGCUGAGGGUUUAAUUAGUUCCUGAACAAUUAAAGAAGAAUUAUGAGACGGUGAACAUUCCAUCUUCAAAAGCCGUCUUGUUGUGGAUCGGGGGUGGGGGAUUGAUGUCACCGCCUGACAUGUCUGCUGAAAUGCCAGCCGGCCAAAGUCGAGCUGGGAACUUGUUCCUGUUAUUUUACUGCUUCCAGACAAGUAUGUCCACUUCCCUGCUGCCUCAAGACAAGACAGGGAGAUUUCAAGGAGCCUCCCAAUGGACUGCAUCUGGGACCCCAGGCUGUGUAGGCAGGGAGGUGAACACUGGGGUUUCUCUUUAGGAGUGUCAGGGCUUCCUUUUCUUCCUUUCUCUCUCUCUCUCUCUCUCUCUCCCUCCCUCCCUCUCCCUCUUUCUUUCUUUCUUUCUUUCUUUCUUUCUUUCUUUCUUUCUUUCUUUCUUUCUUUCUUCCUUCCUUCCUUCUUCCCUCCUUCCCUCUGUUUCUUCCAUUCUCUCUCUCUCUCACUCUUUUUCCCAGAAUACCGCUCAGUUCUGAUGGUAGUAUGGGGGAUUGAACAUGAGACUUUGGAGCAUCAGGCAUGAGAGUCUUUUUGCACCACUGUUAUGCUGUCUACCCCUUUCUGAUCUCAUAGCCCAGUUCUCCUCCACCACUCCUCUGUGAUGCAUUCUGCACUCACUCAGCAGGUAAGAGGUUGCAACAGCACUGUAACAUUUUUGUUCAGUUGUUCUUUUUGCCUCCAGGGUUAUCUCUGGGGCUCCGGGGCUUGGUGCCAGCACCAUGAAUCCACUGCUCCUGGAGGCCAGUUUUCCUUUUUUUUUUUUUUUCUAUUUUAUUUUGUACUUGACAGGGCAGAGAGAAAUUGAGAGAAGAGAGGAGAUAGAGAGCGAGAAAGACACUUGCAGACCUACUUCACAGCAUGAGAAGCAUCCCUCCUGUAGGUAAGAGGCCGGGGGGACUCAAACCUGGAUCCUACUGCAUGGUGACAUGUGUCCUUGACUGGCUGCAUGGCUGCCUGCCCCCUUAAGGUUUUUUUUUCAAUAUCUUGUUUUCUCUAAAAGCUUUCAUCCAUUUAUUUUAAUGAGGGAGAUAGAGACAGGGAUAGACCAGAGCACAGUUCAGCUCCAGCUUAUGGUAGUGCUGGGGCUUGAACCUGGGGACCUCCGGGCCUCAGGUAGGGAAGUCUUUGCAGAACCACGAUGCUACCUACCCUGUGUACAUUGACGAGUUCUUCUUCCUUUUGAUUCAUUUUUCUGGUGGCAGCAGGGAGGGCUUCACCUCUGCCUGGUUCUACCACUCCUGGAUCCUGGGCCAACUUUUCAUUCUUUCUAUUUCAGCUAGAGACACAGAGUCAGAAUCAGAGAAAAGGUGAGAGAUACCAGGGCGAGGCAGUGGCACACCUGGUUAGGUGUUCACAUUACAGUGAGCCAGGACCCAGGUUCAAGCCCCUGGUCUCCAUGUGCAGGGGAAAAAGCUUCAUGAG
Molecule: long non-coding RNA, 3229 nt
Organism: Erinaceus europaeus (western European hedgehog)
Lineage: Eukaryota; Metazoa; Chordata; Mammalia; Eulipotyphla; Erinaceidae
Exons: 6
Source: RefSeq, a predicted model, not a curated record